AACGCGAAGAACCUUACCUAGACUUGACAUCUCCUGAAUUACUCUUAAUCGAGGAAGCCCUUCGGGGCAGGAAGACAGGUGGUGCAUGGUUGUCGUCAGCUCGUGUCGUGAGAUGUUGGGUUAAGUCCCGCAACGAGCGCAACCCUUAUUGUUAGUUGCUACCAUUAAGUUGAGCACUCUAGCGAGACUGCCCGGGUUAACCGGGAGGAAGGUGGGGAUGACGUCAAAUCAUCAUGCCCCUUAUGUCUAGGGCUACACACGUGCUACAAUGGCUGGUACAGAGAGAUGCUAAACCGUGAGGUGGAGCCAAACUUUAAAACCAGUCUCAGUUCGGAUUGUAGGCUGAAACUCGCCUACAUGAAGCUGGAGUUGCUAGUAAUCGCGAAUCAGAAUGUCGCGGUGAAUACGUUCCCGGGCCUUGUACACACCG
This 430-nucleotide ribosomal RNA is filed under the name Clostridium sp. hong4-3. Its description in RNAcentral is "bacterial SSU rRNA". It matches the Rfam family "Bacterial small subunit ribosomal RNA", at positions 958 to 1392 of the family's 1533-position model. RNAcentral also lists the same sequence under 1 other name. The record is from RNAcentral. Lineage: Bacteria; Bacillati; Bacillota; Clostridia; Eubacteriales; Clostridiaceae.